AUGCUAGGAAUGUGGUGGUACUUCUCCGGAGGUGCAGCGGUUGCCUGUCUUUGUCGCUUAGUUGAUCUGCCGAUGUCGGCACUUGUUUCUCUUUUCUUUCUCUUGUUUUUCCUUUUGAGCUUGGUUGUGCUGCAGCCCAGCGAGUUGGAUGUAUCGGUUGGAUGCUUUAUAAUGAGGUGCCUAAACAUGUCCGGCGCGGUUACUUUAGUGCCUAAACUUGUAAAAUGUCAAAAACUGGUGCCACAACUUGUCCAUUUGGUUCAUAUACGGUGCCUUGCUCGUACGCCGCCGUAUUUGCUUGUCACGUGGCCUGACAGCUGGCGUGUGGCCCACGGGUCAGUGGGUGGGAGUGUAGGAAGAGUUGAGUCGGACGAGACCAGCGGUUAUUUUCCAGAAAACCCCCGGAGCUUUUAUUAA
RNAcentral lists this ribosomal RNA (417 nucleotides) under Triticum aestivum (bread wheat). RNAcentral's name for it is "partial small subunit ribosomal RNA". The record is from RNAcentral. Lineage: Eukaryota; Viridiplantae; Streptophyta; Magnoliopsida; Poales; Poaceae.